GUUGUAUAGUCAAGUAAUUAAGUGCAUGUGGUGGAUGCCUUGGCAGUCAGAGGCGAUGAAAGACGUGAUAGCCUGCGAAAAGCUCCGGGGAGGCGGCAAAUAUCCUUUGAUCCGGAGAUGUCUGAAUGGGGGAACCCACCUACUUUAAGGUAGGUAUUGCAACAUGAAUACAUAGUGUUGCAAGGCGAACGAGGGGAAGUGAAACAUCUCAGUACCCUUAGGAAAAGAAAUCAAUUGAGAUUCCCUCAGUAGCGGCGAGCGAACGGGGAUCAGCCCAUUAAGUUAUGUGUGUUUUAGUGGAACGCUCUGGGAAGUGCGAACGUAGAGGGUGAUAUUCCCGUACACGAAAGGGCACACAUAAUGAUGACGAGUAGGGCGAGGCACGUGAAACCUUGUCUGAAUAUGGGGGGACCAUCCUCCAAGGCUAAAUACUCCUGACUGACCGAUAGUGAACCAGUACCGUGAGGGAAAGGCGAAAAGAACCCCUGUGAGGGGAGUGAAAUAGAUCCUGAAACCGCAUGCAUACAAGCAGUGGGAGCACCUUCGUGGUGUGACUGCGUACCUUUUGUAUAAUGGGUCAGCGACUUAUAUUCAGUAGCGAGGUUAACCGUAUAGGGGAGCCGUAGAGAAAUCGAGUCUUAAUAGGGCGUUUAGUUGCUGGGUAUAGACCCGAAACCAGGCGAUCUAUCCAUGAGCAGGUUGAAGGUUGGGUAACACUAACUGGAGGACCGAACCCACUGUCGUUGAAAAGCCAGGGGAUGACUUGUGGAUAGGGGUGAAAGGCUAAUCAAGCCUGGUGAUAGCUGGUUCUCCCCGAAAGCUAUUUAGGUAGCGCCUCGGACGAAUACCAUAGGGGGUAGAGCACUGUUUCGGCUAGGGGGUCAUCCCGACUUACCAAACCGAUGCAAACUCCGAAUACCUAUGAGUACUAUCCGGGAGACAGACUGCGGGUGCUAACGUCCGUAGUCAAGAGGAAAACAAUCCAGACCGCCAGCUAAGGCCCCAAAAUCAUAGUUAAGUGGGAAACGAUGUGGGAAGGCAUAGACAGCUAGGAGGUUGGCUUAGAAGCAGCCACCCUUUAAAGAAAGCGUAAUAGCUCACUAGUCGAGUCGGCCUGCGCGGAAGAUGUAACGGGGCUAAAACUAUGUGCCGAAGCUGCGGAUNNUUGACAUUAGUCAAGUGGUAGGGGAGCGUUCUGUAAGCCGAUGAAGGUGUAUUGAGAAGUAUGCUGGAGGUAUCAGAAGUGCGAAUGCUGACGUGAGUAACGACAAAACGGGUGAAAAACCCGUUCGCCGAAAGACCAAGGGUUCCAGUCCAACGUUAA
Molecule: ribosomal RNA, 1324 nt
Filed under: Acinetobacter baumannii
Lineage: Bacteria; Pseudomonadati; Pseudomonadota; Gammaproteobacteria; Moraxellales; Moraxellaceae
Description: bacterial LSU rRNA
Rfam family: Bacterial large subunit ribosomal RNA
Source: RNAcentral